Molecule: long non-coding RNA, 1102 nt
Organism: Haliotis rubra (blacklip abalone)
Lineage: Eukaryota; Metazoa; Mollusca; Gastropoda; Lepetellida; Haliotidae
Exons: 3
Source: RefSeq, a predicted model, not a curated record
AAAAUUGUCAUUAUUAAGCGAAAUGAAAGGAAUGGAAUAAACAACAUAUAAAAAUGUCCUUGGAGUGAGCCAGUGAGGCAGGCCCAGGUGGGUGGAGUUCUUCACACAGUGUGGUCCUACAGCAACGUACUACAGUGUCACAGUGACACCAGGUUCAUGGUUUACAGACCCUCUCAGGUAACGCCCUUCUCAGGUAAUGCCCUUCUCAUGUAACACUACUCAGGUAAUGCCCUUCUCAGGUAACUCUCUACUCAGGUAACACUCUUCUCAGGUAACUCUCUACUCAGGUAACACCCUUCUCAGGUAACUCUCUACUCAGGUAACACCCUUCUCAGGUAACUCUCUACUCAGGUAACACCCUUCUGAGGUAACUCUCUUCUCAGGUAACUCUCUACUCAGGUAACUCACUUCUCAGGUAACUCUCUACUCAGGUAACACCCUUCUCAGGUAACUCUCUACUCAGGUAACACCCUUCUCAGGUAACUCUCUACUCAUGUAACACUCUACUUAGCUAACACCCUUUUCAGGUAACUCUCUAAUCAGGUAACACCCUGAGGUGAUAACUCUUUACCCUGUUAACACCCUCAAGCUAUAACUCACUACUCCCACAACACUCUACUCUAUAAUAUAAAUCACCCAAUAGAUGACACAGAAACUGAGAUGAACUAUAGACCCCAAUUGAUAUAAUACAGACAUGGGCCAUAAGAUACCUUUCAAAAGAGAUGUCAUUUGUGAUUUUGCAUUGCAUCUUGAACACAGAAGAUGAUAAAAUACCCAGACUCCAGUUAAAUAAUGGUGAUUAAUCAGGCAAUAUUAACAUGAUGUCACUGAGAUAGAAUGAGUUAUACCAAGGACCAACUUGCAAAAAGCAGUCUUAGUAUUAUUGAAAGUCAACACUAAUGUAUGUGCACUAUGUUAAUCUUAGUGCUAAGAUAGAUUUGUGAAAGGGGACCUAGAUUCCAGUGAGAUACACAAGAACAAACUAACGGAAUCCAGACAGUGAAGCACAGAUACCAGUGACAUAGUGCACUAUUCCAUAGAUUCCAGUGAGACUCACUCUGUACCAUUAAGCAGAUCACCCAGUUAUAGAUUGAUUCCAGUG